GUAAGGAAUAUUGGUCAAUGGAGGCAACUCUGAACCAGCCAUGCCGCGUGCAGGAAGACGGCCCUCUGGGUUGUAAACUGCUUUUAUCUAGGAAUAAACCUACUUACGUGUAAGUAGCUGAAUGUACUAGAAGAAUAAGGAUCGGCUAACUCCGUGCCAGCAGCCGCGGUAAUACGGAGGAUCCAAGCGUUAUCCGGAUUUAUUGGGUUUAAAGGGUGCGUAGGCGGCCUAUUAAGUCAGGGGUGAAAGACGGUAGCUCAACUAUCGCAGUGCCCUUGAUACUGAUGGGCUUGAAUGAACUAGAGGUAGGCGGAAUGUGACAAGUAGCGGUGAAAUGUUUAGAUAUGUCACAGAACACCGAUUGCGAAGGCAGCUUACUAUGGUUUUAUUGACGCUGAGGCACGAAAGCGUGGGGAUCAAACAGGAUUAGAAACCCGAGUAGUCC
RNAcentral lists this ribosomal RNA (445 nucleotides) under uncultured bacterium. RNAcentral's name for it is "partial 16S ribosomal RNA". It matches the Rfam family "Bacterial small subunit ribosomal RNA", at positions 354 to 796 of the family's 1533-position model. The record is from RNAcentral.